GACGAACGCUGGCGGCGUGCUUAACACAUGCAAGUCGAACGGACAGGCCCUGCUUGCAGGGUACUCGAGUGGCGAACGGGUGAGUAACACGUGGGUGAUCUGCCCUGCACUUCGGGAUAAGCCUGGGAAACUGGGUCUAAUACCGGAUAGGAGCCAUUUUUAGUGUGAUGGUUGGAAAGUUUUUUCGGUGUAGGAUGAGCUCGCGGCCUAUCAGCUUGUUGGUGGGGUAAUGGCCUACCAAGGCGGCGACGGGUAGCCGGCCUGAGAGGGUGGACGGCCACAUUGGGACUGAGAUACGGCCCAGACUCCUACGGGAGGCAGCAGUGGGGAAUAUUGCACAAUGGGCGCAAGCCUGAUGCAGCGACGCCGCGUGGGGGAUGACGGCCUUCGGGUUGUAAACUCCUUUCGCUAGGGACGAAGCUUUUUGUGACGGUACCUAGAUAAGAAGCACCGGCUAACUACGUG
RNAcentral lists this ribosomal RNA (465 nucleotides) under uncultured bacterium. Its description in RNAcentral is "partial 16S ribosomal RNA". It matches the Rfam family "Bacterial small subunit ribosomal RNA", at positions 28 to 507 of the family's 1533-position model. The record is from RNAcentral.